RNAcentral lists this transfer RNA (68 nucleotides) under Triops cancriformis. RNAcentral's name for it is "tRNA-Thr". It matches the Rfam family "tRNA". Rfam says of the family: Transfer RNA (tRNA) molecules are approximately 80 nucleotides in length. Their secondary structure includes four short double-helical elements and three loops (D, anti-codon, and T loops). The record is from RNAcentral. Lineage: Eukaryota; Metazoa; Arthropoda; Branchiopoda; Notostraca; Triopsidae.
UACCUUAGUAGUUUAAAUCAAAACACUGGUCUUGUAAAUCAGAAUUAAGAAUAUGUCUUUUAAGGUAU